This 93-nucleotide transfer RNA is filed under the name Syntrophobacteraceae bacterium. RNAcentral's name for it is "tRNA-Ser". It matches the Rfam family "tRNA". Rfam says of the family: Transfer RNA (tRNA) molecules are approximately 80 nucleotides in length. Their secondary structure includes four short double-helical elements and three loops (D, anti-codon, and T loops). Further hydrogen bonds mediate the characteristic L-shaped molecular structure. tRNAs have two regions of fundamental functional importance: the anti-codon, which is responsible for specific mRNA codon recognition, and the 3' end, to which the tRNAs corresponding amino acid is attached (by aminoacyl-tRNA synthetases). tRNAs cope with the degeneracy of the genetic code in two manners: having more than one tRNA (with a specific anti-codon) for a particular amino acid; and 'wobble' base-pairing, i.e. permitting non-standard base-pairing at the 3rd anti-codon position. The record is from RNAcentral. Lineage: Bacteria; Pseudomonadati; Thermodesulfobacteriota; Syntrophobacteria; Syntrophobacterales; Syntrophobacteraceae.
GGAGGGAUGGCCGAGAGGCUUAAGGCGACGGUCUUGAAAACCGUAGUUCCGUUAGCAGCGGGACCGUGGGUUCGAAUCCUACUCCCUCCGCCA